Molecule: ribosomal RNA, 253 nt
Filed under: uncultured bacterium
Lineage: Bacteria
Description: partial 16S ribosomal RNA
Rfam family: Bacterial small subunit ribosomal RNA
Source: RNAcentral
UACGUAGGGUGCAAGCGUUGUCCGGAAUUAUUGGGCGUAAAGAGCUCGUAGGCGGGCUGUCGCGUCUGCUGUGAAAACUCAGGGCUUAACCCUGAGCUUGCAGUGGGUACGGGCAGACUAGAGUGCGGUAGGGGAGACUGGAAUUCCUGGUGUAGCGGUGAAAUGCGCAGAUAUCAGGAGGAACACCGGUGGCGAAGGCGGGUCUCUGGGCCGUAACUGACGCUGAGGAGCGAAAGCAUGGGGAGCGAACAGG